AUUAAUAUUUCUUCUGUCUGUCUCACAGUGCAAAUUGGAGUAGUAAAGGAGCAGAGCUGUUCAAGGCUGACAACAAAGCUGUCAUAAUGUGACCCAUUACAUUGCAAACCAGGAAGAAGAAGAAGACAUGAAUCCAAGUUAUUAUGGCAUAGAAGAAUGAAGUUGAUGAAUCACACAUUUCUCAAAAAUUGAUCAGCACAAACAAAAAUUUUCAAUUGUUGUUACAGACAGAGUCACACAUAUAAACUCUAAAAACAGUAGAAGGAAAAUAAAUAGAAACAUUUCAAACUUGGCAGAUAAGAGAUUCAGGAUAAGCAGCUAUAAGACUGCCAGUCCUUGGCUGUUCCUGAAGAAGGAACUUGACUUGGAGAGAAACAAGCAAAGGUUUUUUUACCUCAAUAAGAGUGAAAUAAUUCAGGCAUAUUUCAAGGCGAAAUCCUAAUGGAGAAAGUCUGGUACACUUUUUUAUGUUUGUUUGUUUGUACUGCAGAAUCCAAUGUUAUUGAAAAUGGAUAAAUAAUGUUCAGUAUUUUUAAUGCACUUUGUGAUGCAGAAUUGAAAUAGUGUAGGGAAAAAAUGUAUACCUGCUACACUGGGAAUAAAUAAUGUUCAUUAUAACAAAAACCCAAAACUGUAGUUUAUCAGCUACUUAAGACAUUUCAACCCAAAUUUUAGCCACCAAAUUCAGACAAAUUGUAGGCAUACUUGAUUAAAUUACUUAAAACUUCCCAUGCAGGAAUUAGGUGUCCCAAAGAUUAUGUCUGCUUAUUUAAAGUCUGCCAUGACAUUUUCAUAUUCUAUUGAAAAAAUCCAGAGAAGUGACCAAAUUUCUAGGUUAUGUGAUUAGCAUAUCUGCAGUUAAACAAUCUAAUAUUUAACUCAGAUUAGUCUGGAUGAAGACCCCAGAAUUAAAAAUUUUCCAGAGUAUAUCUAGACAUACACCUAUAGCCUUGUUUAGAAUGUGGUAAAAAUAUCAGAAAUUAGAGGAUGGUCAGAACUGAGAAAAGAUGGUGUCUUAAUAUACAUUGAAAAGAAAUAAAACUGAGAAA
Cyanistes caeruleus (blue tit) is the source of this 1049-nucleotide non-coding RNA. Lineage: Eukaryota; Metazoa; Chordata; Aves; Passeriformes; Paridae. The record is from RefSeq and is a predicted model, not a curated record.